This 476-nucleotide ribosomal RNA is filed under the name uncultured bacterium. RNAcentral describes it as "bacterial SSU rRNA". It matches the Rfam family "Bacterial small subunit ribosomal RNA", at positions 36 to 507 of the family's 1533-position model. The record is from RNAcentral.
CUGGCGGCAUGCCUACACAUGCAAGCGAACGGCAGCGACGGGAGCAAUCCUGGUGGCGAGUGGCGAACGGGUGAGUAAUAUAUCGGAACGUGCCCAGUCGUGGGGGAUAACGUAGCGAAAGCUACGCUAAUACCGCAUACGAUCUAUGGAUGAAAGCGGGGGAUCGCAAGACCUCGCGCGAUUGGAGCGGCCGAUAUCAGAUUAGGGUAGUUGGUGAGGUAAAGGCUCACCAAGCCGACGAUCUGUAGCUGGUCUGAGAGGACGACCAGCCACACUGGGACUGAGACACGGCCCAGACUCCUACGGGAGGCAGCAGUGGGGAAUUUUGGACAAUGGGCGCAAGCCUGAUCCAGCAAUGCCGCGUGCAGGAUGAAGGCCUUCGGGUUGUAAACUGCUUUUGUACGGAACGAAACGGUGAGCUCUAAUACAGUUUGCUAAUGACGGUACCGUAAGAAUAAGCACCGGCUAACUACGUG